RNAcentral lists this unclassified non-coding RNA (202 nucleotides) under uncultured fungus. RNAcentral's name for it is "sequence contains ITS1". The record is from RNAcentral. Lineage: Eukaryota; Fungi.
GUAUUUGAUUGCGUUUUAAGGCAACAUGAACAUUCUAUGACACAUUCAGAGUAUAUGAUACAUAAGCCCGAAGGCCUACGGUGGGUUCACAGGUGUGUUGUGGAUUUAAGAGCUCAGGCGUGCACAUGCCCCGAAAGGGAGGCCAGCUACAACCCUCACUUAUAAUUCGAUAAUGAUCCUUCCGCAGGUUCACCUACGGAAA